RNAcentral lists this ribosomal RNA (445 nucleotides) under uncultured bacterium. Its description in RNAcentral is "bacterial SSU rRNA". It matches the Rfam family "Bacterial small subunit ribosomal RNA", at positions 354 to 796 of the family's 1533-position model. The record is from RNAcentral.
GUGAGGAAUAUUGGUCAAUGGGCGGAAGCCUGAACCAGCCAAGUAGCGUGCAGGACGACGGCCCUAUGGGUUGUAAACUGCUUUUUCGCGGGGAUAAAGAGGGGGAUGCGUCCCCCGUUGCAGGUACCGCGUGAAUAAGGACCGGCUAAUUCCGUGCCAGCAGCCGCGGUAAUACGGAAGGUCCGGGCGUUAUCCGGAUUUAUUGGGUUUAAAGGGAGCGCAGGCCGUAUGGUAAGCGUGUUGUGAAAUGCCGUGGCUCAACCAUGGCACUGCAGCGCGAACUGCCGUACUUGAGUACGCUGGAGGUAGGCGGAAUUCGUGGUGUAGCGGUGAAAUGCUUAGAUAUCACGAAGAACCCCGAUUGCGAAGGCAGCCUACCGUAGCGGCACUGACGCUGAGGCUCGAAAGCGUGGGUAUCGAACAGGAUUAGAAACCCUAGUAGUCC